AGCUGCUUGUUUUUGCACCUCCCUCGGGGGGUUUUAUUGGCAUAAUCCUUUAAGCAUGAAUUUAUAGUUUCAGGAGUCCGUGACAUUCAAGGAUGUGUCUGCAGAUUUCAUUUGGGAGGAGUGGCUUCGUCUAGAUUCUGCUCAGAGGAACCUGUAUGGGAAGGGGAUGCUGGAGAACUACAGGGACUUGGUGUCACUGGGUAAGGACCUGCCCUCGUACCUCAAAACCUCCCUGCUGACAGCCUUCCCCACCUCCUGACGCCUUGUACCACCGACCGGUAAAAUUCAGGAAUCUGCCUUGCAAUCCUGCUNNUGCAGAGCAUCGGCUUUCCAAACCAAAUGUGAGUUCUCAGCUGGAACUGGAGGAACUGAGCCGGUGACAAAAGACUUCCAGUGCGCCUCUCUCCAGAUUGUCUUUGAUGUUACUGCCAGACUGCGCGACCAUUUAGCCUUCUUAUCCCGUCCAGAACCAAGACGAGAAAGCGUCGAGGACACAGUGUUUCCCCCGCCACCAUGACUCACUCCUCAUAACCUUCCUGUGGGAUUGGAAGACAAGACUUGAAACCAAAGAAUCAACUACAAAGCCCAACAUUACUGAAG
RNAcentral lists this long non-coding RNA (600 nucleotides) under Suricata suricatta (meerkat). RNAcentral's name for it is "lncRNA (ENSSSUG00005002855.1)". The record is from RNAcentral. Lineage: Eukaryota; Metazoa; Chordata; Mammalia; Carnivora; Herpestidae.